Molecule: microRNA precursor, 83 nt
Filed under: Ovis aries (sheep)
Lineage: Eukaryota; Metazoa; Chordata; Mammalia; Artiodactyla; Bovidae
Description: miRNA (ENSOARG00000023897.1)
Source: RNAcentral
UAUUGGGUUGGCCAAAAUUUUCGCUUGGGUUUUUCUUUGAAAUCUUAUGGAAAAACCCAAGUGAACUUUUUGGCCAACUCAUU